GAUGAACGCUGGCGGCGUGCCUAAUACAUGCAAGUCGAGCGAACAGACGAGGAGCUUUCUCCUCUGACGUUAGCGGCGGACGGGUGAGUAACACGUGGAUAACCUACCUAUAAGACUGGGAUAACUUCGGGAAACCGGAGCUACUACCGGAUAAUAUAUUGAACCGCAUGGUUCAAUAGUUAAAUACGGUUUUUCUUUCAGUUAUAGAUGGAUCCGCGCCGCAUUAGCUAGUUGGUAAGGUAACGGCUUACCCAGGCUACGAUGCGUAGCCGACCUGAGAGGGUGAUCGGACACACUGGAACUGAGACGCGGUCCAGACACCUACGGGGGGCAGCAGUAGGGAAUCUUACGCAAUGGGGGAAAGCCUGACGGAGCAACGCCGCGUGAGUGAUGAAGGUCUUCGGAUCGUAAAACUCUGUUAUUAGGGGAGAACAAAUGUGUAAGUAACUAUGAACGUCUUGACGGUACCUAAUCAGAAAGCCACGGCUAACUACGUG
RNAcentral lists this ribosomal RNA (497 nucleotides) under uncultured bacterium. RNAcentral's name for it is "partial 16S ribosomal RNA". It matches the Rfam family "Bacterial small subunit ribosomal RNA", at positions 28 to 507 of the family's 1533-position model. The record is from RNAcentral.